This 467-nucleotide ribosomal RNA is filed under the name uncultured bacterium. RNAcentral describes it as "partial 16S ribosomal RNA". It matches the Rfam family "Bacterial small subunit ribosomal RNA", at positions 28 to 507 of the family's 1533-position model. The record is from RNAcentral.
GACGAACGCUGGCGGCGUGCUUAACACAUGCAAGUCGAACGGAAAGGCCUCUUUCGGUGGGUACUCGCGUGGCGAACGGGUGAGUAACACGUGCGUAACCUGCCCUUGACUAUGGGUUAACUUCAUGAAACUGGCGCUAAUACCGGAUAGGAGCUCCUGCUGCACGCUGGGUGUUGGAAAGUUUCGGGGGUUUGGGAUGGACUCGCGGCUUAUCAGCUUGUUGUUGGCGUAGUGGGUUACCAAGGCGUUGCCGGGUAGGCGGCCUGUGAGGGUGAGCGGCGAUAUAGAGACUGAGAUGCGGCAGAAACACCGAAGGGAGGGAGAAGUGGGGAAUAUUGCAGAAUCAGUGGAAGGCUGAUGAAGCAAGGCCGCGUGCGGGAUGACGGGGUUCGGGUUGAAAACCGAAUGUGUAAAUGACGAAGCAUUGUGUGACGGUAGUGGGUAAAGAAGCACCGGCUAACUACGUG